This 255-nucleotide ribosomal RNA is filed under the name uncultured bacterium. RNAcentral's name for it is "partial 16S ribosomal RNA". It matches the Rfam family "Bacterial small subunit ribosomal RNA", at positions 28 to 297 of the family's 1533-position model. The record is from RNAcentral.
GGUAAACGCUGGCGGCGUGCCUAAACAUGCAAGUCGAACGGGCAGUCUUCGGAUUGUCAGUGGCAGACGGCUGAGUAACGCGUGGGUGACGUACCUAUCGGUGGGAUAACUGCCCGAAAGGGUGGGCUAAUACCGCAUACGUCCACUGAUUCAAUUUGGUGGGAAACGCAAGGUGUCGAUGGAGCGGCCCGCGUUCGAUUAGCUAGUUGGUGGGUAACGGCCGUACCAAGGCGACGANCGAUAGCUGGUCUCAGA